This 581-nucleotide unclassified non-coding RNA is filed under the name Hevea brasiliensis (rubber tree). Lineage: Eukaryota; Viridiplantae; Streptophyta; Magnoliopsida; Malpighiales; Euphorbiaceae. The record is from RNAcentral.
GUUAGCUCGGACGUUAAAGGACAGCAAGCCCUAAAUCAGCGAAGAAGAAGGAGACGACACGCUGCUGCUCUUUCAUAGUUUCUCCCUUCCAUUUCAUCUGCAAGGAUAUUCAAAUUCCCUUUUGAGUUCUAGUACCAUGGGAUCUUACAUGAACUUCAAGAACAUUACUGACAAGCCACAGGCGGAGAGCAACGGGGGGAAGUCAGUUGGUAAUGGUGAUACCCCUUUGGCUAGGCAAUCCUCCAUAUACUCGUUGACGUUUGAUGAGCUUCAAACUACAUUUAGUGGACUUGGAAAAGAUUUUGGAUCAAUAAACAUGGAGGAACUGUUGAAAAGCAUUUGGACAGCUGAAGAGUCUCAAGCUGCGACAUCUUCUACUGGGGGAGGAGAAGAUGGGAUUGCACCUGUAGGAAAUCUACAGAGGCAAGGUUCUUUGACAUUACCUCGGACACUAAGUCAGAAAACUGUUGAUGAAGUAUGGAGAAACUUUCAAAAAGAAACUACGGUAUGUACCCCAGACGGAAGUGAAACUGGGAAAUCAAACUUUGGGCAGAGGCAAUCUACCUUGGGAGAAAUGACAU